Molecule: ribosomal RNA, 393 nt
Filed under: uncultured bacterium
Lineage: Bacteria
Description: bacterial SSU rRNA
Rfam family: Bacterial small subunit ribosomal RNA
Source: RNAcentral
GACGAACGCUGGCGGCGUGCUUAACACAUGCAAGUCGAGCGGUAAGGCCCUUUCGGGGGUACACGAGCGGCGAACGGGUGAGUAACACGUGGGUGACCUGCCCUCAGCUCUGGGAUAAGCCUGGGAAACCGGGUCUAAUACCGGAUAUGACUCCAUGACGCAUGUUGUGGGGUGGAAAGCCUUGUGCGGCUGAGGAUGGGCCCGCGGCCUAUCAGCUUGUUGGUGGGGUGAUGGCCUACCAAGGCGACGACGGGUAGCCGGCCUAAGAGGGCGACCGGCCACACUGGGACUGAGACACGGCCCAGACUCCUACGGGAGGCAGCAGUGGGGAAUCUUGCGCAAUGGGCGAAAGCCUGACGCAGCGACGCCGCGUGAGGGAUGACGGCCUCGGUU